GUGCUCGCUUUGGCAGUACAUAUACUAAAAUUGGAAUGAUACAGAGAAGGUUAACAUGGCCCCUGUAUAAUAUAUGUAUAGUUUUUAAAAUACAUCCUGAACAUGAAUUUUU
Molecule: non-coding RNA, 112 nt
Organism: Pongo abelii (Sumatran orangutan)
Lineage: Eukaryota; Metazoa; Chordata; Mammalia; Primates; Hominidae
Source: Rfam